Long non-coding RNA from Calidris pygmaea (Spoon-billed sandpiper), 1717 nucleotides. The record is from Ensembl. Lineage: Eukaryota; Metazoa; Chordata; Aves; Charadriiformes; Scolopacidae.
CCCGGUUUGCUCGGACCCGGCGGGCAGAGCCCCGCCGCCGCCGCUCCGCACCCGCGCUGCCCCGGCGGGGCCCCGAGUGCGCGGGUGCGGAGCGGCGGCGGGGAGAGCCAAACCCUUGGUACCUCCGACCCGCGCCCGAGUUAAAAAAUGACCUUUCCCUGCAUAAUUUUGGAGGUAACCUAGCUGCGUAAUUAUAUUUGCACUUCCAGAAGACUGCAUCAGAGUUCCCUUAUUGGUUUGAAAUUCCAUUAAAUAUAUUGCAAGAGCUCCUAGGUUAAGCUUGAUUUAAAUUUGCAUACAUUUUCAUAUAUUUAGCAGAAAUAAAAGAAGGCUUGCAGCUACCAGAAAGUCAUUAAGGCAUUAGUUUCUCUGAGAAGACAGAUCUGAAGAAAAUUCAAGAAAAUGAGAAAAUAGAUAUAAAUAAGGUGGAGCUGAAUACAAUGCCCACAUUUGUGGUUAGCUACAAGCAAAACAUUAUGAAGAUGAUGGUAUUCAGACACAUACUCAAACAACUGGAUUCAGACAAACAGGAUGCAAGACUGACCAACAAGAGAAGAACAGGCAUUAUGCAGACCAGCAGCAUUACAGACCUGCUGGAAGAGCUUAGCAGAAGAGCCAACGCUGCACUGAUGAUGUUUGAACAGAGGCCUGUGGUGGUCCAGCUUGUUGGAAACUUUUGUGUUCAAACCAGAAGGAUGCUGUAGAUGGAGCUAAUCUGAUUCUUGAAUCCCACUGAGGAUGCACAGAGCUGAUCUCUGAGUCUGUGAUAUCUGCUGCCACUGUAAGUGUGAAAAAGCGGUGCCUCUACCUGCUCUUUCUGAGUGCCCUGUAAUGAAAACCCUUUUGGAGCAACAUUGGAAAUAAGCCAUCACAAUAUCUGAUUAAACCUCUUAGGAAACUGUCACUAAUCACCUUCUCUGCUCUUGAUGGAAUAUAUUUAUGCAUUAUAAAUAUACUUACUGUGUGUGUGUGCUCCAUAAAUCACAUUCAGCACUUGUAUAUGAUGUAUAAGCAUAUUCUAUAGAAUACACACAAAUACAGAUGCCAAACUCCCACAGAGUUCAUCACUGGGAAAUGUUUGAAGGAUCUGAUCCUUAAUAUUUAAUGAGAAAGAUGCUAUUUCCUUCCUCAGCUUUUAUCUCUGGUUUGGCAUAGUCAUUAAAUUUGUUGUUUCCUUGCAAGAUUAUAUAAUUUAUGACCUAAUUUUAGACUUUUGUGUAACUGUGCUAAAAUACUCGUGGCAUAUCCGGAUUUUUUCAUACGGAGUAUUUCAGCAUUAGACACCAGCUAGAACAUGACUGCUCAGCUAUGAGCUUCCCAUCAGUAAGGAAUUACAAGCAUUAAAGGAAAACAGCCCAACAAUAUUCAGAUAGCAUUUCAGGAUUAGACAGUGGUGUUUUUUCCUCUGUAAAACUAUGAUUUAGCAACAUUUCCAAAGCCCGUCGUAUGCAGCAGUUGGCAGGAAUCCCCAGGUAAUACAGUAAUCACCCAGAAAUUCCUAUUACUUAAAAUAUUUUCAUGUAGCAUCUUCUGACUUUCAGACCGCUCUGGGAUGAAUUCAUACAGCCUUCAUCACAGGUACUGAUGUACAGAGCUGGGAAAAGGAGGUGAAGAAUGACACUCGGUGCUUUAAAGUGACUAUCAGCCCCCUCGCCCUCUGGAAGAAAGCAUUUGCUCUGCAGCACCAGGCUGGCUGGGGAGAUUUUUGCUGCACAAG